Molecule: non-coding RNA, 1401 nt
Organism: Camellia sinensis
Lineage: Eukaryota; Viridiplantae; Streptophyta; Magnoliopsida; Ericales; Theaceae
Source: RefSeq, a predicted model, not a curated record
GAGAGGUGAUGUGAUAGAAAAAAGAUAAAAAGAUGGAAUAUUUAAGGGAUUGGCUAAUGUUCCUUUUUCUUUUUCUUCUUUUGUUUAAAUUGUUUAUCAUGUUUUUUUUUUUUAUUGUUCCAUGUUCUUCAAUUGUUUUCAUAUUAUGAUGUUUUUUCUUCUUUUUUUGGGAGGUUUCAGUAGUUAGGGGUGUUUGGGCUAAUUUAUGCGUAUCUUAACUAAUCCUAACUCAGGUCCAAUCAAAGGCAAGUCAUUCAUACCGGGUUAAAAAAUUCAUGAAAAAUUACUUUCUCGCAACCUAAAUUUAAGAAUUGAAUAUUGAGCAUGUAAAUAUUACACUUACCAACCAUUCAUAAUAACUCUCAAAAUACUACUGUUAACACAAUUAGACAAAUAAAAAAGUAUAUUGAAUAAUAUUAUGUGUAUCUCAUUCAAUAUAAUGAAGGCCCAUAUAUAUAGACAAGAAGGAGAAAGAGAAUUCUAAUCAUACUAUAUAAUGUAAUCCUAAUCCUAUUAUAUAAUGUAAAGAAUCCUAAUCCUAUUAUAUAAUGUAAAUAUAAUAUAAUCUAAUAUAUAUCACUAACAGCCCCCCUCAAACUCAAGAUGGUUUCAAAGAGACCAACUGGAGUUUGGAAGGAAACUCAUGAAAACGACCAGGAAGAUGAGUUUUAGUAACAGAUCAGCAACUUGAGCAGCGGAAGAAACAGACUAGAGUUGGAUAAUGCCACUAUUGACAUGCUAACGAAUAAAAUGACAGUCAAUCUCGAUGUGUUUGGUGCGAUCAUGAAAAACAUCAUUGUGAGCAAUCUGAAUGGCAUUACUCUUCUAUUGCUUCAUGUUGAUGAUAUGAUUAUUAUCGGUGAUGAUCUUGAUGGCAUUCAUGAGCUGAAACAUUUUCUCAGGUCUCAUUUUGAGAUGAAAGAUCUAGGUUCUCUUAAUUAUUUUCGAACGGCAGCAUACUGAGUAGAUUGUGGAGCAGACAAAAACUGACUGACAAUGUGAACUACAUGAGAGAUAUCAGGCCGAGUAAUAGACAAAUAGACCAGACUACCCACUAAUACUGUUGAUGGCACUCACAUGUCUGUUAGUCAUAUUGUUGUCAGGUUCAGGAUCCGCAAACAGGACAGACUAUUGGGAUAUGGCGUAAAACUGGACGUCUGUUUGAACUCAUCAAUCUUCAUCUACCAUUUUCUACACCUACUCCUCAGCAUAUCGCAUCCACUCUCUCUCUUGAUCUUUGGCAUUCUAGAUUAGGGCAUGUUUCUUUUGGUCAGCUAUGUACUUUGGUAUCCGGUGGCAAUUUAGGCUCUAUUUAUUCUAAUUAUCAUAAUGAUUGUCAAUCUUGUCAACUUGCUCUGAUACCAUUUUAACACAAUUAGACAAAUAGAAAAGUAUAUUGAA